Non-coding RNA from Heterocephalus glaber (naked mole-rat), 1112 nucleotides. The record is from RefSeq and is a predicted model, not a curated record. Lineage: Eukaryota; Metazoa; Chordata; Mammalia; Rodentia; Bathyergidae.
UGGAGUGUAUGCUGUACUCUACAUGCAGACCUCCAUACCAAGUGCUUCGUUGCUUUGACAAUUACUCUCAGGAACAGGGGCUCUCUUUUUUAGGUCAUUCUGUGGAAAGCCAUCUUCAGAAAGGCCAGCUUACCACUGGAAUUUGUAUUGGAUUUCUUCAGAGAGACAAUAUAGCAGCAGUUUCAAUGAAUGUGCUUCUAACCAUAGCAAAAAUAUUACUCUUGUGAAAUGAACAGAACUCAGUCAUUUGUAGUUUGAAACUUAAUUUGGGUGUUGGAGUGGAUAGUUCUUACUUGGUUAGGAUUCUCUCCCUUUUCUCUUCUGAUAAUUUUCUAGUGGGAGCAGUGGUGAGAGAGAGGCUUAGAAAGUUAUCUUCCUAGCACUGUCUCUGUGCCUUCUUCUCUGAGGGCUCUGCGACAGUAGAACCUUCUGAUCUCCUAGCACAAAUAACCACACUCACUGAGUUUGAGGGUUUUUCCGCUCUUAACUAGACCACACCCGCAACUCACCUUGUUGAGAACUAGCUGCCUCUUCCUGUAUUGACUUGUGCUGUCCACGCCAGCCCUCAUCAACACGGAUCCAUUUUGGAUCUUCUGUAGGGCCUGAGAGAUGUGCGUGCAAGUGCAUAUGUGGAUGUGAGGGGCCAGUAUGAUUGCUUAUCAGGGCGGAAAAAGCCUUUUAUGUGGUAGUUUCUCCUCUUCUAAAGGCCAAUCUAUGCUGCUUCAGGGAACUAUGAGUUGUACUCUCCCAGGGGUUCAGAUAGAACCAAAUCAUUCUGCUCUUGACUCUCAAUAUCUAUCCACCAAUUUACAUCAGCCAAUUCCCCUCCUCCCUCUUACCCUCUGUCACUAUUGAUUCUCCUAGGUACCACCAGGAGCUCCUCUUUGAAUCUCUCUCCCAUUUUCAAUCCUCUCUUCCCUUUUUCAAUGCUGGAGAGCCAAUGCAUGGCCUCAUACAUGCCAGACGAAUAUCUACCACUAAGCAAUGAAGCCCACCAGAGAAAGCUACUGGGCAACAAGAUAAAAAGAAAAUCCUUGGAUUAAAAUUCACUAAAUCAUAUAGCAAUUAACUAUAAGGAAGAAAUAGUAAAACUACAAGCAACAUUACAAGGU